GGACCCGCACAAGCGGUGGAGCAUGUGGUUUAAUUCGAUGCAACGCGAAAAACCUUACCUACUCUUGACAUACUUGGAAGCUCUUGUAAUGAGAGUGUGCCUUUUGGAACCAAGAUACAGGUGCUGCAUGGCUGUCGUCAGCUCGUGUCGUGAGAUGUUCCGUUAAGUCGGAUAACGAGCGCAACCCUUACCCUUAUUUGCCAGCGAUUCGGUCGGGAACUAUAAGGGGACUGCCGGUGAUAAACCGGAGGAAGGUGAGGACGACGUCAAGUCAUCAUGGCCCUUACGAGUAGGGCUACACACGUGCUACAAUGGGGAAUACAGACGGACGCUAAGCCGCGAGGUGGUGCUAA
Molecule: ribosomal RNA, 353 nt
Filed under: uncultured bacterium
Lineage: Bacteria
Description: bacterial SSU rRNA
Rfam family: Bacterial small subunit ribosomal RNA
Source: RNAcentral